AAAACUCCUUAUCAAAGCUUGACCUUGUCUGAUCUCUGAAGAUAAGUCAGGCAGGGCCUGGUCAGUACUUGGAUGGGAGACUGCUGGAAAUACCAGGAG
This 99-nucleotide ribosomal RNA is filed under the name Periophthalmus magnuspinnatus. Lineage: Eukaryota; Metazoa; Chordata; Actinopteri; Gobiiformes; Gobiidae. The record is from RNAcentral.